UACAGAGGGGGCAAGCGUUGUUCGGAAUUACUGGGCGUAAAGGGCGCGUAGGCGGCCGCCUAAGUCAGACGUGAAAUCCCUCGGCUCAACCGGGGAACUGCGUCUGAUACUGGGUGGCUUGAAUCCGGGAGAGGGAUGCGGAAUUCCAGGUGUAGCGGUGAAAUGCGUAGAUAUCUGGAGGAACACCGGUGGCGAAGGCGGCAUCCUGGACCGGUAUUGACGCUGAGGAGCGAAAGCGUGGGUAGCAAACAGG
Molecule: ribosomal RNA, 253 nt
Filed under: uncultured bacterium
Lineage: Bacteria
Description: partial 16S ribosomal RNA
Rfam family: Bacterial small subunit ribosomal RNA
Source: RNAcentral